UCACCAUGUAGCCUGUGGCUGGCCUCGAA
RNAcentral lists this non-coding RNA (29 nucleotides) under Rattus norvegicus (Norway rat). The record is from RNAcentral. Lineage: Eukaryota; Metazoa; Chordata; Mammalia; Rodentia; Muridae.